AUUGAACGCUGGCGGCAUGCUUUACACAUGCAAGUCGAACGGUAACAGGCCGCAAGGUGCUGACGAGUGGCGAACGGGUGAGUAAUGCAUCGGAACGUGCCCAGUCGUGGGGGAUAACUACUCGAAAGAGUAGCUAAUACCGCAUACGAUCUAUGGAUGAAAGCGGGGGACCGUAAGGCCUCGCGCGAUUGGAGCGGCCGAUGUCAGAUUAGGUAGUUGGUGGGGUAAAGGCUCACCAAACCAACGAUCUGUAGCUGGUCUGAGAGGACGACCAGCCACACUGGGACUGAGACACGGCCCAGACUCCUACGGGAGGCAGCAGUGGGGAAUUUUGGACAAUGGGCGCAAGCCUGAUCCAGCAAUGCCGCGUGCAGGAAGAAGGCCUUCGGGUUGUAAACUGCUUUUGUACGGAACGAAACGGCUCUGGUUAAUACCCGGGGCUAAUGACGGUACCGGAAGAAUAAGCACCGGCUAACUACGUG
RNAcentral lists this ribosomal RNA (482 nucleotides) under uncultured bacterium. RNAcentral's name for it is "partial 16S ribosomal RNA". It matches the Rfam family "Bacterial small subunit ribosomal RNA", at positions 30 to 507 of the family's 1533-position model. The record is from RNAcentral.